AAAAUUCAGUGUGUGUGUGUGUAUAUAUAUAUAUAUAUGCUGACAUGUAUGAAGACAUUCACAUAUGGUAGAACUAAGAGGACGGUAGAAUGCUCAAAUAAUGGAAUAGAGUCGAGAUUAUGAUGAGAAAGGAUAGUAAAUAGCUAUCACUAUGUGAAUGUCUUAUUUUCUUUCACUAUGUAAUAGCUAUCACUAACUUUUGUUUUUACUGUCUUAUUGUAUUUCCCAUGUUGAGAGAUAGAUCUAAAAGGACAGUAAAAUGCUUGAAUAAUGGAACAGAGUCGAGAUUAUGCCCGAGAUAUCUGAUGUUACAAUAACAACUGCAAAUACAAGUUGAGAGGAAGAUCAUAUUCCUUUUGUGGUGCAGCUGGGGUUUUUUAUCAUAUGUGGUGCUUUUCAUUGUAUGACCAUAUGAAGCUGCAGAUGCAAAUAUUUCUUAAGGUACAUGAUGAUCCUUCUAACGCUCCAGUUUGAUGGUCCAACUCAAUGGCCCUUACACCACUUUGAGGGACUGCUGGUAUAGCUCAUAGCAAUUGAUGUAAGUCCCUUACUUUCGUAAUACAAUACUUGGAGUGACUGCUGUUAGAGCUCAUAGCAAUUACUGCACUCAUUGCAUUAAAAAAAGGUUCCCAGUUAAUCAAAUAUAGCCGGAAAGGAAAGCCAAAACUUCUUCCAUUCAGAAUUUCAACUGGUUGAUUUACAGUUUGACAUUCUCGACGAUGAUGAUAAUGGAGUUCAGGAUUAUUUCGCCCCGAACAACAAGGACGGAUAUGCUGUCUAUGCCAACAAGGGGGUAAGGUCAAUCUUUGAUUUUGAGUCUUUCCGAAAGCUGCUAUCAUCUCCAAAACCCUUAUUCUGCGGAGCCGGUACUGGGAUGUGACAGUAAUUGCUGUUGUAAAGAGUCCCUAUAUGCUGCUUAAAGGCUGGUAUCGACUGACUCAUGAUCUGAUUACUCCAGAAGCAACUCGCGGGCGUAAUUUCCAGUUUGUGUUGCAUCCGACUUGGGAUAUGUGGACGGAGGAGCAAGCAUUAGGUAUAGUCGAUCCAUCAUUGGAUCAGUCAUAUCCUGCACAUGAGGUUUCGUGAUGCAUCCAUAUCAGUCUACUUUGCGUGCAAGAAAUUGAAUCGGAUAGGCCAACCAUGUCGGAAGUUGUUUUUCAUGUUGAGUAAUGAAACAAUUCUUCCCUGUCCCAAGAAACCUGCAUUUAUAUUACAAUCCAGAAAUCCAAACUCAGAAGCGUCAAAAAGAGAAAUUUGUUCGAUAAACGACUUAACAAUAAAUGCAGUUGAAGCUCGCUAAUGACCUAAGUUGUAUGUUGUAUUCAAAUAAAAAUUUCUUGCCAUUGUCUUUUGUAAUGUCAUGUGUUACCAAACUUAAGAGCAACUCUACCGUUGCAAAUGCCCCCUCGAGCUAUUCACUAUUUAAUCCAUCCAGUGAACAGUAACUGACUUUUGUAUUUCC
Pyrus x bretschneideri (Chinese white pear) is the source of this 1462-nucleotide long non-coding RNA. RefSeq lists it as uncharacterized. NCBI's taxonomy places the organism in Eukaryota, Viridiplantae, Streptophyta, Magnoliopsida, Rosales, Rosaceae. The record is from RefSeq and is a predicted model, not a curated record. The transcript has 9 exons.